RNAcentral lists this transfer RNA (62 nucleotides) under Figulus binodulus. Its description in RNAcentral is "tRNA-Ile". Lineage: Eukaryota; Metazoa; Arthropoda; Insecta; Coleoptera; Lucanidae. The record is from RNAcentral.
ACAGUAGUGCCUGACAAAAGGGUUAUCUUGAUAGGAUAAAAAAUGCUUAAGAGCCUCUGUUA